This 2317-nucleotide long non-coding RNA is filed under the name Homo sapiens (human). RNAcentral's name for it is "HSALNT0310701". Lineage: Eukaryota; Metazoa; Chordata; Mammalia; Primates; Hominidae. The record is from RNAcentral.
CUAUGAGCUGGGACAAAGAAGGCAGGGGUGCUAUCUCAUUCAACUUUGUAUCACCUGAGCUUAACUAACACCUGGCACAGAGAAGAAACAUAUUAAGGAUUUGCUGAGAGAAUAAGAUAGUAUAACUUGGUCUUAUAUCUAAGGUUUGAUUUUCUAGGAACCUAUAGUGAAUUUUAGGCUUGCUUUUCAGUUUUUGUAGCAGGGAUGUAGCACAGGUUUGGGACUCAGCACACCUAGUCUGAAAGCUGAUUUCUGUCACAGCAUGCAUGAGGGACAGUCUCUUCAGUUUAUUUAUACCUUAGUGCUGUGAUUCUCGAGCUUAUAGACACUGUGAGGACAGAAUUUUAGCUCUUUAAACAAAGGGGGGCAAAUAUACAGUGACCUCUAUCUAUGUAGGUAUUUAACUGAAAGGAAUUCCAGGGCCAAGUGUGUCUACUAUUAAAAGAAACGUACUUUUCUUACAAUGUAGUCCCUGAAUGCAAAUCAUGGUUUUAUCUGGUGGGCAACUGAAGAAACAGCAAUCUGAACUGAUAUGGGAGGCAGACCUCACUGUAACAGGAUUAGUGAGAAACAGUGUUUGUGGCUCUUAAUUGCUCAUUUUUUUUUUUUUAAUGGGGGAUGUUAGGGAUUUUCUAAGGGCAGGUUUAUCCAUAUGCAGAGUUGAUGUUAGGAUGUAAUACCACAAAGAUGUAAUUAACUCCUCUGUUUGUGGUCUCCAUGUUAAUUCACUCUCAUAAGAGGGUAUGCAGUGUGGUCACUAUUCUACCACCAUUUUUAAGAAAAAAUUUAAAACUAUUUUUUAUCUUCCAAAUUAAAUAUUUUGCUAUUUGAUAAGUUAACAAUGCAACAGAAAAUCAAUAUAACUUUUAUCUUUACCAGAAGCCAUAAAAGUCUAUCUAGGAAAAUUUCAGAUGUGUGAACAUGGCUUUAGAGAAGGAACUCAACUACAGACUAUAAGAAAUGUAAAACCAAGCCAGGUUCCUGUUGUGGUCCUUUAUUAUGACCUGGUGACCUAAGCUAGAGAAUCACAGCACUAAGGUAUAAGUAAACCAAAUAGCAUGCAUUGGCUUUAGUUCAGAAGGGGAUUUUUGUGCAGAAAAUAAAUUGAAAGUAGGGCCUCUGGCCAGCAUAAACAGAUAAGAAAAAAGUAUGAUUCCCUACGUCUCAAAAAUGACUCCUUCACACAUCCCACCAAUCAAAGAUCCAUUUGGAAUAACAGGUCUUCUAAAAGCUGCCAUAGAAGUUAAGCCUCCUACCACCUAUACUUCUGUGUGAAUUGAUUUAGUCUGGAGGCAUUUUGAUUGCUUUUCUCCUAACACCUAACUUAGAAGGUGAAAUAGAGGUCUUGUUUGGAGGGAAUUGAAGAAGGAAAAGGAAAGGGCAAUUUCAGAUCAAGGGAUAUGUUGGAAUGGUGGAAAAGUAGGAUCAUUAGGACAGCUGGGAACAGUCUUUUAGUUCUUGGAAGCCAGGAAAAAGAUGUAGAGAGAAGGGCAGAAGUGGUCAAGGCUCCAUGAAAAGGAGGAUGUAGCAGUCAAAUUGGAUGUCGACCAUGCAACAAUGACGUCAGGAACCCUGCUUGGUAUACCAUCUGUACCUGUCUGUACAGCUAUGAUCAUCCUGUAACUGCUGAUGCUGCCUCAUUGCUCUGCUCCAUUGCCUCACCCCAAGCUUUCAAAGUCAUCUCCUACUCUACUCCAGGAGUUUCACUCUUGUUGCCCAGGCUGGAGUACAAUGGCAUGAUCUCGGCUCACUGAAACCUCUGCCUCCUGGGUUCAUUCAAGCGAUUCUCCUGCCUCAGCCUCCUGAGUAGCUGGGAUUACAGGCAUGCACCACCACGCCCGGCUAAUUUUGUAUUUUUAGUGGAGAUGGGGUUUCUCUAUGUUGGUGAGGCUAGUCUCGAACUCCUGACCUCAGGUGAUCCACCUGCCUUGGCCUCCCAAAGUGCUGGGAUUACAGGCAUGGGCUACUGCGCCUGGCCUGUAUCUCCAAUUCUUUACAUAUGCCUGACGAACUGCUAUUCCAUCUUGUAGGGCUAAAAUCAAAUUUUUUUUCAUUUUUGGGAAGCCUCCUCUACAUACCUCCACCUUCUAACUCCAAGAAGUCAAACUUGCAGACAACAGAUCAUGGAACUUCUUGGCCUCCAUAAUCUCAUGAGCCAAUUUCUGUAAGUCUCUCUGUCUCUCUGGAGAACCUUGGCUAAUAUACACACACACCAUGAUUGAUAGUGGAUGCCCAAUAAAUGCAUUCCAAAAUAUAUGGAUGCCCAAUAAAUAUGUGUAAGUAUGAAUACUCAAUAAAUAAACAAAAAUGAAAGAAC